Molecule: ribosomal RNA, 448 nt
Filed under: uncultured bacterium
Lineage: Bacteria
Description: bacterial SSU rRNA
Rfam family: Bacterial small subunit ribosomal RNA
Source: RNAcentral
GACCAGACUCCUACGGGAGGCAGCAGUGGGGGAUAUUGCACAAUGGGGGAAACCCUGAUGCAGCGACGCCGCGUGUGGGAAGACGGUCCUCUGGAUUGUAAACCACUGUCCCCAGGGACGAAGAUGACGGUACCUGGGGAGGAAGCCCCGGCUAACUACGUGCCAGCAGCCGCGGUAAUACGUAGGGGGCAAGCGUUAUCCGGAUUUACUGGGUGUAAAGGGAGCGUAGACGGUUAUGCAAGUCUGGAGUGAAAGGCGGGGGCUCAACCCCCGGACUGCUCUGGAAACUGUAGAACUAGAGUGCAGGAGGGGUAAGUGGAAUUCCUAGUGUAGCGGUGAAAUGCGUAGAUAUUAGGAGGAACACCAGUGGCGAAGGCGGCUUACUGGACUGUAACUGACGUUGAGGCUCGAAAGCGUGGGGAGCAAACAGGAUUAGAUACCCUUGUAU